CCGUACUAGACGGGGAGGUAGCGGUGCCCUGUAACCUGCAAUCCGCUAUAGCAGGGUUGAAGUCCUACGCCGAGGCAUACUAUUGUACAGUCUGGUCGGUGCAAGUGGCGAAGAAGACUGGGUCCUGUGCAACGGAAAUUUACGAACCCCGCCAGGUCCGGGAGGAAGCAACGGUAAGUAAACACUUCCGUGUGCCGCAGGGUUACCUGGUCAGAGCUGGCUGCACUGGUGCCGUGUGUAAUGGUGUGUCAAGGGUAGGUGUACGG
This 266-nucleotide signal recognition particle RNA is filed under the name Calorimonas adulescens. Its description in RNAcentral is "Bacterial large signal recognition particle RNA". It matches the Rfam family "Bacterial large signal recognition particle RNA". Rfam says of the family: The signal recognition particle (SRP) is a universally conserved ribonucleoprotein involved in the co-translational targeting of proteins to membranes. Archaeal SRP consists of a 7S RNA and homologues of the eukaryotic SRP19 and SRP54 proteins. The record is from Rfam by way of RNAcentral. Lineage: Bacteria; Bacillati; Bacillota; Clostridia; Thermoanaerobacterales; Thermoanaerobacteraceae.